GAGUACAAAGAUAGGUUAUGACCACAUAGAACCUUGGAGUAGUGUGGGCUGGCAGGGCUGGAAGUGUGGGGCCGAGGUCAGAGUCUCAGACUAAGGGUAUAAUCUGGUACCAGUGGGUUUGGAAAAGGGAGAUGACAGCAGGAGGAAAAGGAGGUCCAGGGUUCCCCCAAGCCCACUGCAUGCUGAGCUCAAGAAGACAAAUCCUAGAUUCAUCAGAUCUUGUUGGGUCUGGGGUAGGGUGCUUCUGAGCCUGCUUGGAGUGGGCUCAUUACAUGGUCUGGCAGGUUCUUCCUUCUCUACUUCCCUCCACAAGUACUUGUUUUCUUCAAGUAUUUUCUUAUUUAAUCCCCACACUACCUUUAACGGUGAUAUCCUUUUCAUUUAAUAAACACAGAUAUAGAACUGACCAUGUGCCAGGCACUGUUCUUAGCACUUUACAAAUAUUAAUGGAUUUGAUGUUUGUAAUGGCACCAUAAAGUCGAUAGGUACUUUUAUCCUGUUUUACAGUUGAGGAAAUGGAAACAUGGGGAUUGAAGUUACAUAGCUAGCAGAAAUUCUUCAUCUUUAAGCCACCUUAAGGAGAGAGAUGUCAUCCUCAAGCUCUCUCAUCUGCUUCUCUGGCAAAUACUUGGCUUGUCUCUACCCAACUCUCCUCCAGUAGGAAGAAAGCACAACUCUAUCCCUAGAAGUGAGUGGAAUAUUUAUUUGGCUUCCAGCUGUAUCUUCUUGCCUUUGUCCUAUGGUUGCCUUCACCUGGUUUGUGGUCUUCAACAAUUCAUCUUUGCCAUCACUUUGACAACAGCAACUCUGAAGACAGCUUCUUCGACUGCCUCCAGCCCUCCAGGCACCUACUAGGUGCCUCCAUAGCUCACAACACAUUUUGUGAAUGCUGAGGACAUUGUGUCACUUAAUUCUCACAACAAUUCUAUGAGAAAGAUCUUAUCAUCUCCAUACUGUAGAUAAGAAAAAUGAGGCUCAACAAAAUUAAAGAACUUGCCCAAGAUCACCCAGUUAUCACAUAGCAGAGCUGGGAUUUGAACCUGUAUCUGACUCUGAAGACCAAGCCGGGUUUUUCUUUUUUCUGUUCUCUUUAUUUUAUUGCAUUAGAAAUUUAUUUCCUUCACAUAUACAGAAUAUAAAAC
Molecule: long non-coding RNA, 1142 nt
Organism: Canis lupus familiaris (dog)
Lineage: Eukaryota; Metazoa; Chordata; Mammalia; Carnivora; Canidae
Exons: 3
Source: RefSeq, a predicted model, not a curated record